GUGUCAGCAGCCGCGGUAAUACGAACUGUGCGAACGUUAUCCGGAUUCACUGGGUUUAAAGGGUGCGUAGGCGGGCAUUUAAGUCAGUGGUGAAAUACCUGAGCUUAACUUGGGAACUGCCAUUGAUACUAUUUGUCUUGAAUGUCGUGGAGGUUAGCGGAAUAUGUCAUGUAGCGGUGAAAUGCUUAGAUAUGACAUAGAACACCUAUUGCGAAGGCAGCUAACUACGCGAAUAUUGACACUGAGGCACGAAAGCGUGGGGAUCAAACAGGAUUAGAAACCCCUGUAGUCC
RNAcentral lists this ribosomal RNA (292 nucleotides) under uncultured bacterium. RNAcentral's name for it is "partial 16S ribosomal RNA". It matches the Rfam family "Bacterial small subunit ribosomal RNA", at positions 505 to 796 of the family's 1533-position model. The record is from RNAcentral.